GAUGAACGCUAGCGACAGGCCUAACACAUGCAAGUCGAGGGGCAGCACGGUGUAGCAAUACAUGGGUGGCGACCGGCGCACGGGUGAGUAACGCGUAUGCAACCUGCCUACUACAAGGGGAUAACCCGUUGAAAGACGGACUAAUACCCUAUAACACAGGGAAUCCGCAUGGAUAUAUUUGUUAAAGAUUUAUCGGUAGUAGAUGGGCAUGCGUUCCAUUAGCUUGUUGGUGAGGUAACGGCUCACCAAGGCAACGAUGGAUAGGGGAACUGAGAGGUUGAUCCCCCACACUGGAACUGAGACACGGUCCAGACUCCUACGGGAGGCAGCAGUGAGGAAUAUUGGUCAAUGGACGAGAGUCUGAACCAGCCAAGUCGCGUGAAGGAAGACGGCCCUACGGGUUGUAAACUUCUUUUGUAAGGGAAUAAAUAGUCUUACGCGCUAAGACGUUGCAGGUACCUUACGAAUAAGGAUCGGCUAACUCCGUG
This 488-nucleotide ribosomal RNA is filed under the name uncultured bacterium. RNAcentral describes it as "bacterial SSU rRNA". It matches the Rfam family "Bacterial small subunit ribosomal RNA", at positions 28 to 507 of the family's 1533-position model. The record is from RNAcentral.